CCUACGGGUGGCAGCAGUGAGGAAUAUUGGUCAAUGGACGCGAGUCUGAACCAGCCAAGUCGCGUGAAGGAUGACUGCCCUAUGGGUUGUAAACUUCUUUUAUAAGGGAAUAAAAUCUGCCACGUGUGUCUUUUUGUAUGUACCUUAUGAAUAAGGAUCGGCUAACUCCGUGCCAGCAGCCGCGGUAAUACGGAGGAUUCGAGCGUUAUCCGGAUUUAUUGGGUUUAAAGGGUGCGUAGGUGGGUUGUUAAGUCAGUUGUGAAAGUUUGCGGCUCAACCGUAAAAUUGCAUUUGAUACUGUCAGACUUGAGUACAGUAGAGGUAGGCGGAAUUCGUGGUGUAGCGGUGAAAUGCUUAGAUAUAACGCAGAACUCCGAUUGCGAAGGCAGCAUACCAGCGUGCAACUGACGCUGAUGCACGAAAGCGUGGGUAGCGAACAGGAUUAGAUACCCGAGUAGUC
RNAcentral lists this ribosomal RNA (460 nucleotides) under uncultured bacterium. RNAcentral describes it as "partial 16S ribosomal RNA". It matches the Rfam family "Bacterial small subunit ribosomal RNA", at positions 338 to 795 of the family's 1533-position model. The record is from RNAcentral.